RNAcentral lists this ribosomal RNA (466 nucleotides) under uncultured bacterium. RNAcentral's name for it is "partial 16S ribosomal RNA". It matches the Rfam family "Bacterial small subunit ribosomal RNA", at positions 28 to 507 of the family's 1533-position model. The record is from RNAcentral.
GAUGAACGCUGGCGGCGUGCUUAACACAUGCAAGUCGAACGAUGAAGCCCAGCUUGCUGGGUGGAUUAGUGGCGAACGGGUGAGUAACACGUGAGUAACCUGCCCUUAACUCUGGGAUAAGCCUGGGAAACUGGGUCUAAUACCGGAUAGGAGCGUCUACCGCAUGGUGGGUGUUGGAAAGAUUUAUCGGUUUUGGAUGGACUCGCGGCCUAUCAGCUUGUUGGUGAGGUAAUGGCUCACCAAGGCGACGACGGGUAGCCGGCCUGAGAGGGUGACCGGCCACACUGGGACUGAGACACGGCCCAGACUCCUACGGGAGGCAGCAGUGGGGAAUAUUGCACAAUGGGCGAAAGCCUGAUGCAGCGACGCCGCGUGAGGGAUGACGGCCUUCGGGUUGUAAACCUCUUUCAGUAGGGAAGAAGCGAAAGUGACGGUACCUGCAGAAGAAGCACCGGCUAACUACGUG